This 253-nucleotide ribosomal RNA is filed under the name uncultured bacterium. Its description in RNAcentral is "partial 16S ribosomal RNA". It matches the Rfam family "Bacterial small subunit ribosomal RNA", at positions 524 to 776 of the family's 1533-position model. The record is from RNAcentral.
UACGUAGGGUGCGAGCGUUGUCCGGAAUUACUGGGCGUAAAGAGCUCGUAGGUGGUUUGUCGCGUUGUUCGUGAAAACUCACAACUCAAUUGUGGGCGUGCGGGCGAUACGGGCAGACUGGAGUACUGCAGGGGAGACUGGAAUUCCUGGUGUAGCGGUGGAAUGCGCAGAUAUCAGGAGGAACACCGGUGGCGAAGGCGGGUCUCUGGGCCUGUACUGACGCUGAGGAGCGAAAGCGUGGGGAGCGAACAGG